CUCCAGCAGAACACAAUUGCCAUGAAGGGGUGGUCUCCAUGGUAACCAGCCUAAGCCCUCCCCUCCCCCUACUUCCUGCUGGUCACUCCUACCUAAGGUGGUAGUGGAUCCUAUUUGAGCCCCUUGAUAUUUUUUUUAAUCCUCACUCCAAAAGCCUCAUCAGUCGCCACAGAAGCACCUUUUCAAGCCUCCAAGUGGAGCUCAGGAUGGUAUACCAACCAUAACGUAUGCAUACUAUCCCCAACCACACUCCGCUGCACCAAACGGCAUUUCUUUAAGACAACAUCUCCAAGUCCUCUACCAGCAGAGAAUUGUUGUCCUCAUUCUCCCCAUUUCCAGGUGAAAAAUAAGAACCCAGCUGCCGGGAGUUGCUUUCUCCACCCUGGACUCUCGACGCUCGAUCCAUUGUGCUAAACAAUAGUGCAUGCUGCUCCUCCUGCCACUGAGGAACAAAGAGCAGCUAAUUGAAUUAACCAGACCUAUUAUUCCUCCACAUGUGAAGGGAGCUGGCUGUCCCGAGGAGACAUAAGGAGCACGUCUUACAUCUCUUCCCCCACCCCCCUAGCAAUCUUGUCUUUCCCUGCCUCCAUGCAGAACAGCUAGGAAGCAGCACCACACUGUAAAAAUAAAAACCCUUAAAAAGGGGCCAGAUUGGGGGUGGGGUGAUUAGGAUCACUGGGGCCAGUCUCCCAACUAGCAUCUCUGGUAUGGAUAGCUCUUGCUGCCAGGCCAGGGGAGCGAAGGAGAUGAAAUACAGGGUGUCCUUCCUCCUCUCCCUGCACCCCCAUACCCAGGACGAAUCACUAGCCCUCCUACCCACCAAGCGAAAAGGUGGAGAACUCACAACACUAGAUAAGGAGUCAAGGCAUGGGGAAUACAACACUCAUUCGAGAUGGAAUGAAAAACAGAGAUAAAAUCCCAAAUAAAUAUCUGGCACAGUACUAAUUGCAUUUUAAAAGCUGCCACCGGAGAGCAGAUAAAACGGUGGUGUAUUUCAUUAGUGGCUCCCCUAAUUCACCCAGUUUUUGCCAGCUGACUCUAUUAAAUAGCCCUGUAAUUAAA
Ornithorhynchus anatinus (platypus) is the source of this 1062-nucleotide long non-coding RNA. RefSeq lists it as uncharacterized. The transcript has 2 exons. NCBI's taxonomy places the organism in Eukaryota, Metazoa, Chordata, Mammalia, Monotremata, Ornithorhynchidae. The record is from RefSeq and is a predicted model, not a curated record.